UCUGCCUGGUAGUGGGGGAUAACGUUCCGAAAGGAACGCUAAUACCGCAUACGUCCUACGGGAGAAAGCAGGGGACCUUCGGGCCUUGCGCUAUCAGAUGAGCCUAGGUCGGAUUAGCUAGUUGGUGAGGUAAUGGCUCACCAAGGCGACGAUCCGUAACUGGUCUGAGAGGAUGAUCAGUCACACUGGAACUGAGACACGGUCCAGACUCCUACGGGAGGCAGCAGUGGGGAAUAUUGGACAAUGGGCGAAAGCCUGAUCCAGCCAUGCCGCGUGUGUGAAGAAGGUCUUCGGAUUGUAAAGCACUUUAAGUUGGGAGGAAGGGCAUUAACCUAAUACGUUAGUGUUUUGACGUUACCAACAGAAUAAGCACCGGCUAACUUCGUGCCAGCAGCCGCGGUAAUACGAAGGGUGCAAGCGUUAAUCGGAAUUGCUGGGCGUAAAGCGCGCGUAGGUGGUUCGUUAAGUUGGAUGUGAAAGCCCCGGGCUCAACCUGGGAACUGCAUCCAAAACUGGCGAGCUAGAGUACGGUAGAGGGUGGUGGAAUUUCCUGUGUAGCGGUGAAAUGCGUAGAUAUAGGAAGGAACCACCCAGUGGCGAAGGCGA
This 606-nucleotide ribosomal RNA is filed under the name uncultured bacterium. RNAcentral describes it as "bacterial SSU rRNA". It matches the Rfam family "Bacterial small subunit ribosomal RNA", at positions 125 to 724 of the family's 1533-position model. The record is from RNAcentral.